This 328-nucleotide unclassified non-coding RNA is filed under the name soil metagenome. RNAcentral describes it as "partial contains 5.8S ribosomal RNA, internal transcribed spacer 2, and large subunit ribosomal RNA". The stretch from base 1 to 120 matches the Rfam family "5.8S ribosomal RNA", at positions 35 to 154 of the family's 154-position model. The record is from RNAcentral.
GAUGAAGAACGCAGCGAAAUGCGAUAAGUAGUGUGAAUUGCAGAAUUCAGUGAAUCAUCGAAUCUUUGAACGCACAUUGCGCCCCUUGGUAUCCCGAGGGGCAUGCCUGUUCGAGCGUCAUUUCACCACUCAAGCCUGGCUUGGUGUUGGGCGACGUCCUCUUUGGGGACGCGCCUCGAAACGCUCGGCGGCGUGGCACCGGCUUUAAGCGUAGCAGAAUCUUUCGCUUUGGAAGUCGGGGCCCCGUCUGCCGGAAGACCUACUCGCAAGGUUGACCUCGGAUCAGGCAGGGAUACCCGCUGAACUUAAGCAUAUCAUAAGCGGAGGA